RNAcentral lists this ribosomal RNA (253 nucleotides) under uncultured bacterium. RNAcentral's name for it is "partial 16S ribosomal RNA". It matches the Rfam family "Bacterial small subunit ribosomal RNA", at positions 524 to 776 of the family's 1533-position model. The record is from RNAcentral.
UACGUAGGGACCAAGCGUUGUUCGGAUUUACUGGGCGUAAAGGGCGCGUAGGCGGCGCGGUAAGUCACUUGUGAAAUCUCUGAGCUUAACUCAGAACGGCCAAGUGAUACUGCAGUGCUAGAGUGUGGAAGGGGCAAUCGGAAUCCUUGGUGUAGCGGUGAAAUGCGUAGAUAUCAAGAGGAACACCUGAGGUGAAGACGGGUUGCUGGGCCAACACUGACGCUGAUGCGCGAAAGCCAGGGGAGCAAACGGG